GAACGGAAAGGCCCUGCUUUUGUGGGGUGCUCGAGUGGCGAACGGGUGAGUAACACGUGAGUAACCUGCCCUUGACUUUGGGAUAACUUCAGGAAACUGGGGCUAAUACCGGAUAGGAGCUCCUGCUGCAUGGUGGGGGUUGGAAAGUUUCGGCGGUUGGGGAUGGACUCGCGGCUUAUCAGCUUGUUGGUGGGGUAGUGGCUUACCAAGGCUUUGACGGGUAGCCGGCCUGAGAGGGUGACCGGCCACAUUGGGACUGAGAUACGGCCCAGACUCCUACGGGAGGCAGCAGUGGGGAAUAUUGCACAAUGGGCGGAAGCCUGAUGCAGCAACGCCGCGUGCGGGAUGACGGCCUUCGGGUUGUAAACCGCUUUCGCCUGUGACGAAGCGUGAGUGACGGUAAUGGGUAAAGAAGCACCGGCUAACUACGUGCCAGCAGCCGCGGUGAUACGUAGGGUGCGAGCGUUGUCCGGAUUUAUUGGGCGUAAAGGGCUCGUAGGUGGUUGAUCGCGUCGGAAGUGUAAUCUUGGGGCUUAACCCUGAGCGUGCU
RNAcentral lists this ribosomal RNA (550 nucleotides) under uncultured Alphaproteobacteria bacterium. Its description in RNAcentral is "bacterial SSU rRNA". It matches the Rfam family "Bacterial small subunit ribosomal RNA", at positions 64 to 625 of the family's 1533-position model. Lineage: Bacteria; Pseudomonadati; Pseudomonadota; Alphaproteobacteria. The record is from RNAcentral.